This 253-nucleotide ribosomal RNA is filed under the name uncultured bacterium. RNAcentral's name for it is "partial 16S ribosomal RNA". It matches the Rfam family "Bacterial small subunit ribosomal RNA", at positions 524 to 776 of the family's 1533-position model. The record is from RNAcentral.
UACGUAGGGGGCAAGCGUUGUCCGGAAUCAUUGGGCGUAAAGCGCGUGUAGGCGGCUCGAUAAGUCUGCUGUGAAAGUCCAGGGCUCAACCUUGGGGCUGCGUUUGAGACGGGUGAUCUUGAGUUCGGAAGAGGGUCGUGGAAUUCCCAGUGUAGUGGUGAAAUACGUAGAGAUUGGGAAGAACACCAGUGGCGAAGGCGGCUAUCUGGACGGUUUCUGACGCUAAGACGCGAAAGCGUGGGGAGCAAACAGG